This 459-nucleotide ribosomal RNA is filed under the name uncultured bacterium. RNAcentral describes it as "partial 16S ribosomal RNA". It matches the Rfam family "Bacterial small subunit ribosomal RNA", at positions 338 to 795 of the family's 1533-position model. The record is from RNAcentral.
CCUACGGGAGGCAGCAGUGAGGAAUAUUGGUCAAUGGCCGGAAGGCUGAACCAGCCAUGCCGCGUGAAGGUCAGUGCCCUAUGGGCGUUAAACUUCUUUUGUGCGGGAGCAAUAAUGGUCACGUGUGGCCAGACGAGAGUACCGUACGAAUAAGCAUCGGCUAACUCCGUGCCAGCAGCCGCGGUAAUACGGGGGAUGCAAGCGGUAUCCGGAUUUACUGGGGGUAAAGGGAGCGUAGGCGGCCUGGCAAGCCUGAUGUGAAAGACCGGGGUCCAACCCCGGGGCUGCAUUGGGAACUGCCAGGCUGGAGUGCCGGAGAGGCAGGCGGAAUUCCUGGUGUAGCGGUGAAAUGCGUAGAUAUUAGGAGGAACGCCAGUGGCGAAGGCGGCCUGCUGGACGGUGACUGACGCUGAGGCUCGAAAGCGUGGGGAGCAAACAGGAUUAGAUACCCCAGUAGUC